GGGGGGAGGCGGGAUCCCGAGCUGUGUCCCGGCGCCCUGUGCUCUGGGGCCUGCGCUGUUGGAUUCGCGCUCCCGGGCCGCGUAACCCCCU
Molecule: microRNA precursor, 91 nt
Filed under: Canis lupus familiaris (dog)
Lineage: Eukaryota; Metazoa; Chordata; Mammalia; Carnivora; Canidae
Description: mir-8799 microRNA precursor family
Rfam family: mir-8799 microRNA precursor family
Source: Rfam by way of RNAcentral